AACGAACGCUGGCGGCAGGCCCUAACACAUGCAAGUCGAGCGCUCUCUUCGGAGGGAGCGGCGGACGGGUGAGUAACGCGUGGGAAUAUGCCCUUCACUGCGGAAUAGCCACUGGAAACGGUGAGUAAUACCGCAUACGCCCUUCGGGGGAAAGAUUUAUCGGUGAAGGAUUAGCCCGCGUCUGAUUAGGUAGUUGGUGAGGUAACGGCUCACCAAGCCUACGAUCAGUAGCUGGUUUUAGAGGAUGAUCAGCCACACUGGGACUGAGACACGGCCCAGACUCCUACGGGAGGCAGCAGUGGGGAAUCUUAGACAAUGGGCGCAAGCCUGAUCUAGCCAUGCCGCGUGAGUGAUGAAGGCCUUAGGGUCGUAAAGCUCUUUCGCCAGGGAUGAUAAUGACAGUACCUGGUAAAGAAACCCCGGCUAACUCCGUG
This 434-nucleotide ribosomal RNA is filed under the name uncultured bacterium. RNAcentral's name for it is "bacterial SSU rRNA". It matches the Rfam family "Bacterial small subunit ribosomal RNA", at positions 29 to 507 of the family's 1533-position model. The record is from RNAcentral.